Long non-coding RNA from Fundulus heteroclitus (mummichog), 1364 nucleotides. RefSeq lists it as uncharacterized. Lineage: Eukaryota; Metazoa; Chordata; Actinopteri; Cyprinodontiformes; Fundulidae. The transcript has 2 exons. The record is from RefSeq and is a predicted model, not a curated record.
CAUUUAGUUCUACUACUUGGCUUGUGCUUUGGUAGUUUCAUGUUUAAAAUGACAAAAGAAAUAUGAAAAACUUAUGGUCGUCAAGUUGUAGUUACUCUCAUAUGACAGCAGAUGGCAGUGAAAGCCCAAAUUCAUUAGAUUCAACGUUUGAAAUCAAUUUUUAAACGUCUGUCUACCACUUUUUUGUGAUUAGAAUCAUCAGUGGCCGGUCUAAACAUAUUAAAUUUCCAAGAAUGCAAAGUGAGCAUGAAACUAUACCAUUUUCCACCGAAUAAACAGUAUAAUGUGACGCUAUCCCUGCAUUCAGCAGUUGUUGAGCACUAAGUUUUCCACAGGUAACAACAACUACAAAUGCAAUAAAAAUAUUGAAGGAGAUUUUUGUUUGUUUGGUUGUUAUAAUUAGAAAAUGAAAAGACGAGUGUGUUUUUACACAUUUUUUAACUUACAGAUUGGCCAGCAUGGUGAAACAAUAUAUAAGUGGGUUCAACUCAUGUGGUGGUUUCUGACAGGUGGUGGAAAGACACUGUAUGCAGUUUCUCCCUGUGUUUACAAACGUAGGUGAGAAACUUGGGAGAAGCUGCAUGCAGUCUCCCUUCACUAUAAAAUGGAGUCCACCUGGAAGCAACCGCAGGGAGGCUGAAGAGCAGACCAUUUUCUGGUGGGAUUGGUGGCUGGUUGCUAUUCAAGAUGGAGAAGUAGACAUCUCCUUUGAGCAAAUACUUUUGUUUGUGUCAGGGGCGGAUACCAUUCCCCCGCUUGGGUUUUCACCAAACCCAUCAGUUGAAUUUUUUGACCAGGAACCAGGAGAGCAACGCCUGCCAUACUCCCCUACCUGCAGCAUCACCCUUUUCCUUCCAAGAGGAGUGGAGUGUGAGGAGCGAUUUAAAGCCAUGAUGGAAAUCAAGGGCUCACAUGGCUUUGGAAAAGUCUGAUAAAAAAAACCCUGGUGAUAAUAAAAGUUUCAAAGGUUAUCUGUUUUCUGACCUUUCUUAUUGUUCUCUUAGAUGUAUACUGUAAACCAGUUUAAGGCUUUAUAUUAUGGACUGGUUGAACCAUACUAUACAACAUUGCUGUGCACUUAAAGAUGGCCCAUUGUUUGAGAUGCAACAUAUCCUGCUAAGGAGUAAAAUUGAAGCAUGUGUGCAAAUUAAGCAUACUCUACAAUAUAACUGAGGCUGAUCCACAGGUUAUGAGCACCAAAUCAAGAAAAAAACAUCAAGUAUAGAGCAGUGCAGAUUUAUUUUUGCUCACACAGCAACAUGCUUUGUAAGUUUGCAUCAGUCUGAUUUUGGAGCAACACUGUGAUGAUAGACACAGAUCCUUCUUGCAUAGUAAUACAUUAAAUACGUUAAAUGGACUAAAUC